UUUUCAUCAUACUCGCAAGAUCUACGCGAUUUCUACGUUGUGUUCUUCGCUGGUGGCUUGUGGAUCCAAUUGAUUUCGGUCCAGCCCUUUGAACCUUGGGUUAAUACAUCAAUUAUAAUCUUGUCCAUCAUUCUUAGACCCGUCGAAUGCUCGUGCUUCGGAGUCUACGCAGGGUUAGCUGUUUGCCAAGAUUUCACGUGGAUAAGCAAGCAGUUUAUGAUUUGAAAGCUGGUCCACUCCGAUUCUUGAUUCUUGGAGGUUUUUCUGUCAAUAAAACUAGUCUGUUGUUUUAAACUCUUAGACCGCAGUAGAACUAGUAUAGUGUUUGAUUAUUAUACUUUGGUUUGUCGUGGUGGUACGACUUUUAUAUUAUUAUACUUUGGCAUGUUACAUUGGAUUAUUAUAUUUGAGGCAUGAUUCACAGUUUCGGAUUAUUAUCAAGUUAUGAUAUUAGAACUGUUGUAUAAACUGUUAGACUUAGGUUGGAGUCUCGGUUGCCCCCGAGCAGUGGU
This is a long non-coding RNA of Mercurialis annua (annual mercury), 512 nucleotides long. RefSeq lists it as uncharacterized. The record is from RefSeq and is a predicted model, not a curated record. NCBI's taxonomy places the organism in Eukaryota, Viridiplantae, Streptophyta, Magnoliopsida, Malpighiales, Euphorbiaceae. The transcript has 3 exons.